RNAcentral lists this ribosomal RNA (315 nucleotides) under Triticum aestivum (bread wheat). RNAcentral's name for it is "partial small subunit ribosomal RNA". Lineage: Eukaryota; Viridiplantae; Streptophyta; Magnoliopsida; Poales; Poaceae. The record is from RNAcentral.
AUGAAGCAAGAGGAGGAGGUGGCCGAGGAAGAGGAGGCCGAGGAGGUGGUGGCCGAUGAGUAUGUGGGCGAUGAAGAGGAGGUUGUGGAGGUAACCGAAGCAAGCACGCGGCCGUCAAGGUCACAUACUACGAACUACAAUCACAAAGAGGAUGUUGCUCUUUGCGAUGCUUGGAUGAACAUCUCCACAGAUGCAGCGAUUGAAAUGGAUCAAACCAAGACUAUGUUUUGGGCAUAUACAUGUAUAUUUGUGGUGAUUUUGGAUCAAACAUUAGUUGACUCAAUCGACAACAUAUCCAUGCUAUGUUGUUGGUGA